AACGAACGCUGGCGGCAGGCCUAACACAUGCAAGUCGAGCGAGGACUUCGGUCCUAGCGGCGGACGGGUGAGUAACGCGUGGGAACGUGCCCUUUGCUUCGGAAUAGCCCUGGGAAACUGGGAGUAAUACCGGAUGAGCCCUUUGGGGGAAAGAUUUAUCGGCGAAGGAUCGGCCCGCGUUGGAUUAGGUAGUUGGUGGGGUAAUGGCCUACCAAGCCGACGAUCCAUAGCUGGUUUGAGAGGAUGAUCAGCCACACUGGGACUGAGACACGGCCCAGACUCCUACGGGAGGCAGCAGUGGGGAAUCUUAGACAAUGGGGGAAACCCUGAUCGAGCCAAGCCGCGUGAGCGAUGAAGGCCUUAGGGUUGUAAAGCUCUUUCAGCUGGGAAGAUAAUGACGGUACCAGCAGAAGAAGCCCCGGCUAACUCCGUG
This 433-nucleotide ribosomal RNA is filed under the name uncultured bacterium. RNAcentral describes it as "partial 16S ribosomal RNA". It matches the Rfam family "Bacterial small subunit ribosomal RNA", at positions 29 to 507 of the family's 1533-position model. The record is from RNAcentral.